AUAUCUCUCUGUACGGGAAGGAUGAGAAGCUUCUACCAGGGUUCGAUUCGAGCGCAGCGAGAAAGCGUUGCCGCA
This 75-nucleotide small RNA is filed under the name Salmonella enterica subsp. enterica serovar Heidelberg. RNAcentral describes it as "partial RtT sRNA". It matches the Rfam family "RtT RNA", at positions 1 to 75 of the family's 130-position model. Rfam says of the family: This family represents a bacterial cis-regulatory element known as RtT RNA. The exact function of RtT is unknown although it is thought that it may be involved in changing the cellular response in relation to amino acid starvation. The record is from RNAcentral. RNAcentral also lists the same sequence under 5 other names. Lineage: Bacteria; Pseudomonadati; Pseudomonadota; Gammaproteobacteria; Enterobacterales; Enterobacteriaceae.